GAUCCUGGCUCAGAUUGAACGCUGGCGGCAUGCCUUACACAUGCAAGUCGAACGGUAACAGGGAGCUUGCUCCGCUGACGAGUGGCGAACGGGUGAGUAAUAUAUCGGAACGUACCAUUCAGUGGGGGAUAACGUAGCGAAAGUUACGCUAAUACCGCAUAUUCUGUGAGCAGGAAAGCAGGGGAUCGCAAGACCUUGCGCUGAUUGAGCGGCCGAUAUCAGAUUAGCUUGUUGGUGAGGUAAAAGCUCACCAAGGCGACGAUCUGUAGCGGGUCUGAGAGGAUGAUCCGCCACACUGGAACUGAGACACGGUCCAGACUCCUACGGGAGGCAGCAGUGGGGAAUUUUGGACAAUGGGGGCAACCCUGAUCCAGCCAUGCCGCGUGAGUGAAGAAGGCCUUCGGGUUGUAAAGCUCUUUCAGCCGGGAAGAAAACGCAUGGGUUAAUACCCUGUGUGGAUGACGGUACCGGAAUAAGAAGCACCGGCUAACUACGUGCCAGCAGCCGCGGUAAUACGUAGGGUGCGAGCGUUAAUCGGAAUUACUGGGCGUAAAGCGUGCGCAGGCGGUUUUGUAAGACAGGCGUGAAAUCCCCGGGCUUAACCUGGGAACUGCGUUUGUGACUGCAAGGCUAGAGUACGGCAGAGGGGGGUGGAAUUCCACGUGUAGCAGUGAAAUGCGUAGAGAUGUGGAGGAACACCAAUGGCGAAGGCAGCCCCCUGGGUCGAUACUGACGCUCAUGCACGAAAGCGUGGGUAGCAAACAGGAUUAGAUACCCUGGUAGUCCACGCCCUAAACGAUGUCAACUAGGUGUUGGGAGGGUAAAACCUUUUAGUACCGGAGCUAACGCGUGAAGUUGACCGCCUGGGGAGUACGGCCGCAAGGUUAAAACUCAAAGGAAUUGACGGGGACCCGCACAAGCGGUGGAUGAUGUGGAUUAAUUCGAUGCAACGCGAAAAACCUUACCUACCCUUGACAUGCCAAGAACUUUCCAGAGAUGGAUUGGUGCCCGAAAGGGAACUUGGACACAGGUGCUGCAUGGCUGUCGUCAGCUCGUGUCGUGAGAUGUUGGGUUAAGUCCCGCAACGAGAGCAACCCUUGUCGUUAAUUGCCAUCAUUUAGUUGGGCACUUUAACGAGACUGCCGGUGACAAACCGGAGGAAGGUGGGGAUGACGUCAAGUCCUCAUGGUCCUUAUGGGUAGGGCUUCACACGUCAUACAAUGGUCGGUACAAAGGGUCGCCAAGCCGCGAGGUGGAGCCAAUCCCAGAAAGCCGAUCGUAGUCCGGAUCGCAGUCUGCCACUCGACUGCGUGAAGUCGGA
This 1321-nucleotide ribosomal RNA is filed under the name metagenome. RNAcentral's name for it is "bacterial SSU rRNA". It matches the Rfam family "Bacterial small subunit ribosomal RNA", at positions 15 to 1330 of the family's 1533-position model. The record is from RNAcentral.